This 429-nucleotide ribosomal RNA is filed under the name Acidobacteriota bacterium. RNAcentral's name for it is "Acidobacteria bacterium partial 16S ribosomal RNA". It matches the Rfam family "Bacterial small subunit ribosomal RNA", at positions 355 to 776 of the family's 1533-position model. Lineage: Bacteria; Pseudomonadati; Acidobacteriota. The record is from RNAcentral.
UGGGGAAUUUUUGACAAUGGGGGAAACCCUGAUCCAGCCAUCCCGCGUGUGCGAUGAAGGCCUUCGGGUUGUAAAGCACUUUUGGCAGGAAAGAAACGUCAUGGGUUAAUACCCCGUGAAACUGACGGUACCUGCAGAAUAAGCACCGGCUAACUACGUGCCAGCAGCCGCGGUAAUACGUAGGGUGCAAGCGUUAAUCGGAAUUACUGGGCGUAAAGCGUGCGCAGGCGGUUCGGAAAGAAAGAUGUGAAAUCCCAGAGCUCAACUUUGGAACUGCAUUUUUAACUACCGGGCUAGGGUUUGUCAGAGGGAGGUGGAAUUCCGCGUGUAGCAGUGAAAUGCGUAGAUAUGCGGAGGAACAACGAUGGAGAAGGCAGCCUCCUGGGAUAACACUGACGCUAAUGCACGAAAGCGUGGGGAGCAAACAGG